CCCGCGGCUGUCACCGGACGGCUCCACGACUGCCCCGGCCCCGGCGCUGCUUUGGUCAGAUGGACAAUUUAGUAACCUUAUAUCAUGGAGGAAGUGUGGAGAAAGAUCAGUUUGGCAAUGUUGAUUUUGUUGGAAUGCAAACGGUCCCUUUGAUGUUU
This is a long non-coding RNA of Sorghum bicolor (sorghum), 158 nucleotides long. RefSeq lists it as uncharacterized. NCBI's taxonomy places the organism in Eukaryota, Viridiplantae, Streptophyta, Magnoliopsida, Poales, Poaceae. The record is from RefSeq and is a predicted model, not a curated record. The transcript is spliced from 2 exons.